UGAGGAAUCUUGCGCAAUGGGGGAAACCCUGACGCAGCGACGCCGCGUGAGUGAGGAAGGCCUUCGGGUCGUAAAGCUCUGUCAGUUGGAAAGAAAUGCUUGAGAGUUAAUACCUUUCAAGCUUGACGGUACCAACAGAGGAAGCACCGGCUAACUCCGUGCCAGCAGCCGCGGUAAUACGGGGGGUGCAAGCGUUGUUCGGAAUUAUUGGGCGUAAAGAGCGUGUAGGCGGCCGGAUAUGUCAGAUGUGAAAUCCCUGGGCUUAACCCAGGAAGUGCAUUUGAAACUGUCCGGCUAGAGUAGGGGAGAGGGAAGUGGAAUUCCUGGUGUAGAGGUGAAAUUCGUAGAUAUCAGGAGGAACACCGGUGGCGAAGGCGACUUCCUGGCCCUAUACUGACGCUGAGACGCGAGAGUGUGGGUAGCAAACAG
RNAcentral lists this ribosomal RNA (429 nucleotides) under uncultured bacterium. Its description in RNAcentral is "bacterial SSU rRNA". It matches the Rfam family "Bacterial small subunit ribosomal RNA", at positions 355 to 775 of the family's 1533-position model. The record is from RNAcentral.